GACGAACGCUGGCGGCGUGCUUAACACAUGCAAGUCGAACGGAAAGGCCCCUUUGGGGGUACUCGAGUGGCGAACGGGUGAGUAACACGUGAGUAACCUGCCCUUGACUUCGGGAUAACUUCAGGAAACUGGGGCUAAUACCGGAUAGGAAUCCUUGCUGCAUGGUGGGGGUUGGAAAGCUUCGGCGGUUUUGGAUGGACUCGCGGCUUAUCAGCUUGUUGGUGGGGUAGUGGCUUACCAAGGCUUUGACGGGUAGCCGGCCUGAGAGGGCGACCGGCCACAUGGGGCCUAAGGUAGGCCCCAGUGUCCAACGGGGGACAGAGGUGGGGAAUAUUAGCCAGUGGGGGGGAGCCUGUUGAGGAAACCCCCGGUGCGGAAAGAAGGCCAUCGGGUGGUAAACCGCUUUAAGCAGGGACCAAGCUGUUUUGACGUUAACCGGAAAAGAAGCACCGGGUAACCUCGGG
RNAcentral lists this ribosomal RNA (464 nucleotides) under uncultured bacterium. RNAcentral describes it as "partial 16S ribosomal RNA". It matches the Rfam family "Bacterial small subunit ribosomal RNA", at positions 28 to 507 of the family's 1533-position model. The record is from RNAcentral.